RNAcentral lists this ribosomal RNA (235 nucleotides) under uncultured bacterium. RNAcentral describes it as "partial 16S ribosomal RNA". It matches the Rfam family "Bacterial small subunit ribosomal RNA", at positions 96 to 334 of the family's 1533-position model. The record is from RNAcentral.
UGGCGGACGGGUGAGUAAUGUCUGGGAAACUGCCUGAUGGAGGGGGAUAACUACCGGAAACGGUAGCUAAUACCGCAUAACGUCGCAAGACCAAAGAGGGGGACCUUAGGGCCUCUUGCCAUCGGAUGUGCCCAGAUGGGAUUAGCUAGUAGGUGGGGUAACGGCUCACCUAGGCGACGAUCCCUAGCUGGUCUGAGAGGAUGACCAGCCACACUGGAACUGAGACACGGUCCAG